GUCUAUUUGGAGAUAUAAAUAGUCUAGCCUGCUCACUGACAAAUAAUAUUGUUUAAGAGCCGCGGUAUAUUGACCGUGCAAAGGUAGCAUAAUAAUUAGUUUUUUAAUUGGAAACUUGUAUGAAUGGUUGGACAAAGGAAAGGCUGUCUCUAUAGUAAAAAUUGAAGUUAACUUUUAAGUGAAAAGGCUUAAAUAAUCCAGGGGGACGAUAAGACCCUAUAAAGCUUUAUAUGUUGAUUAAAUUUAGUUGAAUUGUUAAAUAAAAAUUUAAUUUGAUUGUUAUAUUUUAUUGGGGCGAUAUAAGUAUAAUUAUAUUAACUACUUAGUUGGAAUACAUUAGAUAAAUGUGUUAAAAUUAAAUGAUCCUUUUUAAAGAUUAAGAGACUAAGUUACUUUAGGGAUAACAGCGUUAUUUUUUUUAAGAGUCCAUAUCGAAAAAAAAGUUUGCGACCUCGAUGUUGAAUUAAAAUGUCUAUAUAAUGCAGCUGUUAUAUAAGAAGGUCUGUUCGACCUUUAAAUUUUU
This 523-nucleotide ribosomal RNA is filed under the name Cyanagraea praedator. RNAcentral describes it as "partial 16S ribosomal RNA". It matches the Rfam family "Bacterial large subunit ribosomal RNA", at positions 1831 to 2597 of the family's 2925-position model. Lineage: Eukaryota; Metazoa; Arthropoda; Malacostraca; Decapoda; Bythograeidae. The record is from RNAcentral.